AGGUCAUUUCAAUGAGGGAUUGGGGGACUGAAACCAAGAACUCUUAACACUGUGACCAAAUAUUGAAGUUCUCCAUAGGAUGUAAGCAUUACUCAACAGUGCCAUGGUUUCCUGAGGAGAUUGCAGU
Mustela putorius furo (domestic ferret) is the source of this 127-nucleotide small nucleolar RNA. Lineage: Eukaryota; Metazoa; Chordata; Mammalia; Carnivora; Mustelidae. The record is from Ensembl.